AACGAACGCUGGCGGCAGGCUUAACACAUGCAAGUCGAACGCACCUUUCGUGGUGAGUGGCAGACGGGUGAGUACCGCGUGGGAAUCUACCCUUCUCUACGGGAUAGCUCCGGGAAACUGGAAUUAAUACCGUAUACGUCCUGAGGGAGAAAGAUUUAUCGGGGAAGGAUGAGCCCGCGUUGGAUUAGCUAGUUGGUGGGGUAAAGGCCUACCAAGGCGACGAUCCAUAGCUGGUCUAAGAGGAUGAUCAGCCACAUUGGGACUGAGACACGGCCCAGACUCCUACGGGAGGGAGCAGUGGGGAAUAUUGGACAAUGGGCGCAAGCCUGAUCCAGCCAUGCCGCGUGAGUGAUGAAGGCCCUAGGGUUGUAAAGCUCUUUCAGUGGGGACGAUAAUGACGGUACCCACAGAAGAAGCCCCGGCUAACUUCGUA
Molecule: ribosomal RNA, 433 nt
Filed under: uncultured bacterium
Lineage: Bacteria
Description: partial 16S ribosomal RNA
Rfam family: Bacterial small subunit ribosomal RNA
Source: RNAcentral